CCCUCGUGCUAUGUUGAUUUCUCAUAGCAGACUGCCUUGUACAGCAAGGAGGAAGGUGGGGAUGACGUCAAGUCAGCAUGGCCUUUAUGCCCUGGGCUACACACACGCUACAAUGGGUGGGUACAGAGGGUUGCCACGGAGCAAUCCGGAGCGAAUCCCUUAAAACCAUCCUCAGUUCGGAUUGUAGGCUGCAAUCGCCUGCAUGAAGCCGGAGCUGCUAGUAACCGCAGGUCAGCUAUACUGCGGUGAAUACGUUCUCGGGCCUU
This 266-nucleotide ribosomal RNA is filed under the name uncultured Chloroflexota bacterium. Its description in RNAcentral is "uncultured Chloroflexi bacterium partial 16S ribosomal RNA". It matches the Rfam family "Bacterial small subunit ribosomal RNA", at positions 1102 to 1382 of the family's 1533-position model. The record is from RNAcentral. Lineage: Bacteria; Bacillati; Chloroflexota.